Molecule: unclassified non-coding RNA, 333 nt
Organism: Vulpes vulpes (red fox)
Lineage: Eukaryota; Metazoa; Chordata; Mammalia; Carnivora; Canidae
Gene: 7SK
Rfam family: 7SK RNA
About the family: 7SK was discovered as an abundant small nuclear RNA in the mid-70s but a possible function has only recently been suggested. Two independent studies have found that 7SK RNA binds the CDK9/cyclin T complex (known as elongation factor P-TEFb).
Source: Ensembl
GGAUGUGAGGGUGAUCUGGCUGUGACACCAUCACCCAUUGAUCACCAGGGCUGAUCUUGGCUGCUCUGGCUGGCUAGGCAAGUGUCCCCUUCCACUCUCCCCACUAUUCCUUGUGCAUCGCUCCCAAGGCUGUGCCCUGGAUCGUAGAGGACAACCUUCCCUGAUAGAGGAAAAUCGUUCUUUGAUCAAGGGUAUACGAGUAGCUGGACACCCCUGCUAGAACCUCCAGACAAGCACUCAGGGUCCAUGUAUAGGAAAACAUAGGGUAGUCAAGCUUCCAAGACACCAGACACAUCCAUAUGAGGUGUUGUGUGUGGCAGUCUGCCUUUCUUU